Non-coding RNA from Brachypodium distachyon (stiff brome), 125 nucleotides. NCBI's taxonomy places the organism in Eukaryota, Viridiplantae, Streptophyta, Magnoliopsida, Poales, Poaceae. The record is from Rfam.
AUUAUACUCCCUCCGAUCCUAAAUUGUUGUCGAAAUAUUACAUGUAUCUAGACGCCCUUUAAGAGUAGAUACAUCCAUAUUUGGGCAAAUUUGAGACAAGAAUUUAGGAUCGGAGGGAGUACUUG